This is a long non-coding RNA of Capra hircus (goat), 2120 nucleotides long. RefSeq lists it as uncharacterized. NCBI's taxonomy places the organism in Eukaryota, Metazoa, Chordata, Mammalia, Artiodactyla, Bovidae. The transcript is spliced from 2 exons. The record is from RefSeq and is a predicted model, not a curated record.
AGAGACAUAGACACACACAUGCACACACAGAUAGUGUUUUCCCCUCCUGUUCUUUGGCAGAGGGCCUCAUCCUUCCCACUGUGCUUUCCUGACCCUCUAGUCUGCAGGCCCAUCCGUGACAGUUUCUAGAGACAGCCUCGUGGUCACUUUUGGCCACGUGGGACUGCACCGUGUGGCUGGAUCACCGUGCAGUCAGGCCCUGCUGUUUCUAGUCUCGUUUCUACAGACGGCGCUGCAAUGAACAGCUUCUGAUGAGGCCCUUGUUUAGGGCCAAGCCUGGCCUCAUCGUGUCCAGUGGGACAAAUUAUUGUCCACGACCCAGGGACAGUGUCCUCCCUUGGGGCCUCUGACUCAGUGGCCCAGAGCUGAUCGGUCUGGAAUCCCCUCCUGUUUUCCUGACGUGUCCCAUCCUGGACACUUCUCAUUCACGCCUCCCGGCAGCUCCCAGACCUCCCCUGGCUUGGCGCAAACGUGGAAUUCUGCCGAGCUGAGAAGAGGAACCUGCCUCCAGGGAGCCCUCGAGAGGCACUGCCAUCUCCCAAGGAAGCGUUUCCUGCAGAUGUUGGAGCCUGUGGGCCGCGGAGAUAGGGGCCGGUGGGCAGGACCGUGGACAGCGACGCCCGGGUCCCUGUGCUGCGCCGGGAAUUGAGUCAGCAGGUGGCGCCCAUCCCCGCCGCGGGCGACCGGGCAUAUCAUUCAUUCAUGUCACAGGCGGGCGGCUGGAUGACUGAGCCAGCUGCGGGAGAGGUGGUCUGACCUCGUGGAGCGUGAUCUGACUCGAGUGGUUGGGACAGAGACAGACAGACACAGGCGAUCACCCUCUUGGCAGGAUCACUAGACGUCAGAUGCCGAGGUUGCUGGUGCCGCUUGGUGGUGGCAGUGCCGUCUGAGUGCAGCUCCUUGUGGACGGGCUCGUGUCUGCCGCGGGUGACCCCCUCCCCCCGGCAGAGGGAGAGACGGAGCCGCGAGGAGGCCGGCACCCCGCUUGGGUCCAGGGCGCCGGCCAGGGUCCCCUUGACCCACCUGAGCGAGAGCCCGUCAGCCCAGCGGUGUCCUCCUCCCUGGUCGUCCCUCGGCCGGGACGAGCCGUCGUCUCAGGUUGACCGUGAGGCCGGCUGGUCCACCAGGUGCCCCUGUGGCCCUGCCACGUGCGGCAGGACGAGUGACCUCGGGUGCGACCUCGGGUGCGGCCCCGUGUGCGAGUGAGGCGGUGCAGCCUCAGGCCGCUGUGCCACCUUCAAGCAGGGCUCCCUGAGCCACGGCCACCCCUCUGCUUUCAGGACCAAGCGCCCAGUGGCCGCCCGGAGCGUUGUCUGCCUCUCAAGCAGCCCCCGGCCUCUGGGUGGAAGGGCAGGGCUGCCGGGGAGCAGACACAGGCCCGCAGGUGGGUCCUGGAGCAAGGCCCAGGCCAGGAGGACCCCACACGACCCCCAGCCCACUCCACACAGGCCAGUUCCCCUGCUGCCCAGGGCAGGGGACGGUGCCCCUGGCACAGUCCUGGGCAGAGUGUUCCAGAGCCAAGUGUCUUUCAGCUCUUCUCUUUCUACGCCUUUUUCAUACCCUUUCAGUGCUCAAAGAUUAACCUUAGAACUCAGCACGUUUAAAAGCUUGCUAUUCUCCAUCUAGACGCACCUCCUCAUCCAGAACCUUCCACAUCCUCGAGCCAGCAGGAGAGCUCAUUGUCUAGAAGAUGGAAACUCGCCCUGACUCAGCUCUGCUCCAUCUUUUCUGUGGACACUUCACUAAAGUGCGCUUACAGUCUUCUGACUCCUUGAAGGGGCUUCCCAAGUGGCUAAGGGGGCCAAGAGUCUGCCUGCAAUGCGGGAGGCACAGGAGACUCAGACUGGAUCCCCGAGAGGGCAGGACCCCCUGGAGGAGGCCGUGGCGGCCCACUGCAGUACUCUUGCCUGGAGAAUCUCACGGACAGAAGAACCUGGUGGGCUGCCAUCCACGGAGUGGCAGAGAGUCAGACACAACUGAAGCGACCAAGCACACACGCCUUCUUGAAAGAACAUCGACUUUCUUGUUUCCGAUUGUGAUUGUGGCCCAUUGUGGUUCAUUGUAGAAGCUUAUGGAAACAUAAAAAAGAGUAAGAGCAGGAAAUAAAAACCGUUCCAAAU